RNAcentral lists this non-coding RNA (24 nucleotides) under Cricetulus griseus (Chinese hamster). Lineage: Eukaryota; Metazoa; Chordata; Mammalia; Rodentia; Cricetidae. The record is from RNAcentral.
CCGACUGAGACACAGCUGCUGCAG